UGACUCCCAUCGGCACACAUGCACGCUGUCAUUUCUCCCAUCUUUAGAAACACCUCUCGUCUCCAUGCACUUCCCUAAUGACCACCAUAUUUCUCAGGCCCCUUUACAGAAAACCUGUUUGAAGAGGCAUCAAAACUGUUCAUCUUGGCCGGAAGCGGUGGCUCAUGCCUGUAAUCCCAGCACUUCGGGAGGCUGAGGUGGGUGGAUCACUUGAGGUCAGGAGUUUGAGACCAGCUUGGUGAACACGGUGAAACCCCGUCUCUACUAAAAAUACAAAAAUUAGCCAGGUGUGGUGAGCACCUGUAAUCCCAGCUACUAGGGAGGCUGAGGCAGGAGAAUGGCUUGAACCGGGAAGGCAGGGGAUUGCAGUGAGCUGAGGUCACUCCACUGCACUUCAGCCUGGGUGACAGAGGAGUGAGACUCCGUCUCAACAAAACAAAAAACCUCUUGGUCUCUAGUUUCCCUGCUCCCAUUCCUUCUCGAACCUGCUCCAAGUAGGCUUCUCUCCCCCCAUUCUACUGACACUGUUUCUGAGAUGGUCAAUGCCCUCCUCGUUGCCAAACCCCAAGGCCACUCCUCAGCCCUCGCCCCCACCCUUCUAUCUCUCUGGCUCGGUCCUCCCUGUGGCCUCUCACGUUAGAGUGCCCAGAUGUCAGUCCUGGGUCCUUGUCUCCUCUCUGUAGAUGCCACUUUCUCACCACUCUACCUGCUCUCAGGCUUUAGCUCCCAAUUUUUAUCGCCAGCCUGGACCUUGUUCUUGAAAUCCACAUUCAUAUAUCCACCUGUGCCAUACAUGUCCACUAGGAUCUCAGCUGACAUGUCCAGGAUGAAUUCCUGCUGCCAGCCUGCUUCCUCCUGAAUGGUCCUCAUCUCACCAAAUAGCAAAAUUCAUCCUUCCAGAUGCCUGGGCUAAAAAUCUUGGUGUUACCCCAGGUUUUCUUUCUUUCGCAGCCUACAUCAGCAAAUCCCAUUGGCUCUGCCUUCCACACAUCCGGAAUCCCCGCCUCUCCCCAGCUGCACCCCACCCACUGUCAUCUCUGGCCUGGCUUGUGAUGACAACCUCCUAACUGGUCUUUCUCCCCUUCUCCCCUGUAGUCCCUCAGCGUAGGAGCCAUGAUGACCCAUUUAAAGGGAAGUCAGAGCAUGUCCCUCUGCCCCAAAACUCCACAGUGGCGGCCAUCUCCCUUAGCUGAAGCCAAAGUGCUUCCAGUGGCCCACAGGCCUCGUCAGAUUGACCUCAUCGCUCACUGCCACGCCCCCAUCUCCUCUCUCCUGCCACUCUGGUCUCCACUGUCCCUGGAUGUGUCAAGCGCAGCCCCAGCGCAGGGUCUUUGCAUUUGUUCUCCUUGCUUGAAACACGUACAUUGCCUCAUGACUCCUUCCCUCUCUCCCCUUGCAUCUCCUCAAACAUCCCCUUAUUGGUGAGGGCUUUUCUGGCCAUCCUAUAUGCAGUGGUCCACUCUCUACCUCUGUAGACAGGUAGAGAUUUACUGUCCUCCAUAGCACUUAUGACCACCUGACCACACACUAUGCUUACUUGUUAAUUUUAUUUCCCGUCUCCUCUACUAGAAUCUAAAUCCCAUGAAGACAGGGACACUGCUUUGCUGCCUGCUAUGUCUCCAGCACUUAGAACAGUGCCUGGCACAUCACAGAGCCUCAAUAAUAUUUGCUGAAUGAAUGAGCAGGGUCCAUGUCUGGCCAGCACCCCGCCCUUUAACAGUGGAGAGAAACCAUCAUCGACGAAGGAUCUAUACCAGAGCUGCAACUGCCACCAGCGACCCAAGACAGAGAAAUGCCACCUUGCGUUACUAAAGGGCUCAUGACACCAUAUACAACAGCUGAAUCCCCAAGAGGAGUGUGGCUGAGGAGUGAGACGAAGGUCUCUGGGACACUUUCAGAAGGAUGAGACUUUGUCCAGCCAGUCCUCAUUAUGCCAGGCAAAGGAACUGCCUGUACUCAUAACUGUGGAAGGGGAACCACAUACCAUGGGCAGGUGGUCCAUGGGGGCAGUGAUUAAGAGCAAGUCCUAGAACUCACACUGCCUUUUGGGAGUUAAACUGAAACGAACUCACAACCCCCAGAUCCCAGACAUGCAUCACCCUUGAGAGGCCCCUACUCCCUGCACCUCUCCUUCCCAGUGCUUAGCACAAGUGUAAUUAUGAUGUGGAUAAUCAUUUGUCUAAUUUAAUGUCUGUCCCCAAAGGGCCUUUGUCUGUCCUGUUGUAUCACUCUACCCCUAGGACCUAACAUGGUGCUUGGCUUAUAGUAGGUGCUUUGGGUUCAAUGAAUUAAAAAUAAAUGUUUUUAAAAGAAAGACUGAAUGGGUCUCUACACUAUAAAACUUGACAGCGACCCCAACAUCUCCCCCAAAAUAACAUCAAAUAAAAAGCACGUGGCUAACUGAUAGAAGUACAGAAAGAUGAGGACCACAGGGGCAGACAUGCAGGGCACAGCCUGGCACUGUCCACAGGCCAGGAGCCCAGCAGGCCCACAUGAGCUGGCAGGCUAUUCAGUGGCACCUGGUGACUACCUACUGAAUAAGCAGUGAAUGAAUCCACAACUUCCCUGUGAGACAGACACAGGACGGGGGCAGGAUCCGAGAUUCUCACAUCGGAUUCAGCACCAAGC
RNAcentral lists this long non-coding RNA (2628 nucleotides) under Homo sapiens (human). Its description in RNAcentral is "HSALNT0241437". Lineage: Eukaryota; Metazoa; Chordata; Mammalia; Primates; Hominidae. The record is from RNAcentral.